GCGGCGGCGCUGCUGAGGGCGCUGGUGCCCGCGCGCCGCGUGCUGGCCCUGCCCGACGCCGGCUCCGGAGGCUCGGCUUCGCGGCGGGGUUCCCCGGCCUCGGCUGCGCGCGACGCUGGUGUGAAUUAAGGCUCGUUUGCAGAACAAGGAGAUUUUUCCCACGUGGGCCGCCUACAGCUGGCGCUUGGCUUCCUGUUGCCGCUUUCGGGUGGGUCCCGCUCCAGCCCUCAAGGCGGUGCGCUGGCUCGGCCUGCCUUGACCUUAGGAGCCCCUUGUUUGGGGCCAGCGGCUUACCGCCUGCCGACUACAGAGCCUCGGGAUUCUCACUGGAGAGGGCACCCAAGUCCCCAGUCCCCUCCCUGGAUGGCACCUGCUGGGGCUGCACGGACCUCAUCUGGCAAGGCUGACGGGUCCCCGAGGACUCCCCGCAGCACGUGUCGGAGGACCGGGGGCCAAGGUCGGAGCGGGCGAGUAGCAGGUAACUGAGCCCAGAGGGCCUGGCAGUUUCUGGAAGAGACAUGCAUCUCUGGACAGCUGGGGUCUCUGGGAAGAACCACCCGGAGGCCAGGCUCAGGAGGCCCCUGCUGCACCGGAGCCCUGGGAGAAGGGCCACACCCAUGCCAUAUGGAAGUUCCCAGGCUCAGGG
Molecule: non-coding RNA, 646 nt
Organism: Sus scrofa (pig)
Lineage: Eukaryota; Metazoa; Chordata; Mammalia; Artiodactyla; Suidae
Source: RefSeq, a predicted model, not a curated record